Molecule: long non-coding RNA, 2676 nt
Filed under: Theobroma cacao (cacao)
Lineage: Eukaryota; Viridiplantae; Streptophyta; Magnoliopsida; Malvales; Malvaceae
Description: long non-coding RNA (TCAC_LNC003726)
Source: RNAcentral
GGCAUUCUUGCUUUUCUUUUAAACCUAGUUGGUCUUUCUAAAUUGUAGCUGAGAAAAUGAUACGUAUAAUUACUAAAAACUUCUAUUGAAAACUGAAAAGUAGAGAAGAACAAAAAAGGGAAUACACAGGAUUGAGAAUGCAGUCUGCUAUGUCUGUCAUUGGUACAAGAACUGGAUUUCAUGUUACAAUUAAGACAAUGCAUCCAGAAAGGAAAACCCAACAAUGCAAGUAGACAGACAAUGUCACGACCUGUACUCCCCUCGAGCCCGUGACAACCGUCGCGAUGUCUCGAUUGGCAUUCAUUACUCGGAAUGCCAACCGAAACCUUGCAAGGCUUUCGCAUCAGUUUUACUUCUCCCCUGUGAGCAACAGUUAUUAAAUACCAUGUUUUAAAGAAAUAUAGACUAAACUAAAAUAAAAAAAUCAAAAAGUAAUUUCUACUACACAGGGGUAUUUUGGUCAUUUUAUCCAAAAUUUUCGAACCUUGGUAAAAAUAUGAUAUACGAGUAGUAAGCAUCCAUUUCAUGUCUAAAAAUAAGUUUCGUUGUCUAAUUCAUCAAUUUAAAGUGAAAUUAUAGCUAUUCAAAUUAAAUAAAAAUAUUAAAUAAAAUAUUUUAUUUUCUUAUAAAACAAUAUUUAUAGAACUCUACGUAAAUAAUUUUUGUAGCGUAAAAGCAAAAUAAAUUCAUACAUACAGUGACACACACAGCCAGGUAUACAAAAUAUUCUACAAUGACAUGUGGGCCCCCAAAAUAACCAAAAUAAACACGACUGUAAACUUGCGAUUUCGAAGGGUGCGAAUCCAACAGCAAACCCUCGACAAAAUCGACGGUCUAUAGACUGCCUUGAGCCUGAAAUGUGUGAAAGAAGGGUGGUGAGUUUUUAUAAACCCAGUGAGUAAGCAAAGUUCAUCUAUAACAUCUAAAGCCAAGUAAAUGGAGACAAUUAAAACAUCUCUUCAUAAUAUGAUUCAUAACAUUAAAACUCAUUUCAACCUUAUAAAAUAAUUUACAUUUCAUCAAAAAUAAUCAGCAAGGCUUAUGACUUUCUUAAAACUUGGCUCGUGCCAAACUUAUACUCGGUGACACAUUGGCUUGGGGCAUCCAACCGAGUCCGCCAAGGAUGUUAAAACGACAUAUACCUAUAAAACACGUUUUUACUUUUAAAAACAUAGCCGUUCCUUGACGUUGGCUGAGUUUCACUCUCACGUGGUGGUUCGGCAUGAAGUGAACUCUAAUGUUACCUUAGGAGAUACCCUUCGCGCCUCUCGUACCAAGGUAAAAUAUAACGGAGUUUACCGUGCCCCUCUCGUAGGCUAAUCCACGGAAACUCGCCCACCGCAGUAAGCUAAUCAAUUACCCCACUAAAUCAAUAAAAAUCUCGGCAGCAUGACAUGGCUAAUAUGAUAUUACCUAGCCUAUCAAGGCCAAACAAAACAGUUCAUAUUUCACACAAACACAAAUCCAGCCAUUCAUGGCAUCACAGUGUCAUAAGCCAUCAAUUCAAACCAUCUAUCAAACAUAAGUAUAUAGUCUCCACUUACUCAAUUUCCAAAACCAGUAUUCAAUUGCAAACCAAAUUAUGAAUCUCAUUUCAUUUAACCAACACUUUCCACUUUUAAAACAUAAUAAUUUACCAUUUAAAACUCAUCAUUCUUUAAAAUCAUAAAAACGAGUAUAAACUACUUUAGAUAGUUAAGAUGAUCGUCUGAUUACUCACUUUAAUGGGAGUUUGGAGUACUUCUAUUAUUGAUCCUCGGAUACGAUAUCUUUACCCUUAUCAGAAGGCUCACCACCUAUACAUAAUAUACGACAUGUAAUUCAAUAUAUUUGUACCAAACUGUUAUAAAACUAUUUCAGGCUCUAUAUGAAUGCAUGAAAUUGAAUGAGAAAUGUUCGGAUAGUCACUUAAAGACGGUGUUCGAAGUAGGUUCAAUUGUGAUCGGAAUGAAUUUGUAUUCGACCUAAUUCGAACUAUACACCAUUGAUUUAACCAAAACAUUCGAUUCAACUUCAAAUAUAUUCAUUACACUUCCAAUAUUCCAUAUACACCAAAGUACCUCAGUAAGCUUAAUUGUAACUUAAUUCAUUGUAACCGAAAUCAUUCCGAUUUCGGACUAACUUGCUAAUUAGUGUCAACACAGUCCAAUAAAUCCAUUUAUAUCAUUAAGAAUAAAUUCCAAGUCCAUUUACUAUGAUUUUCUCAUUAUUGUUCAAAUCGUUUACUAAAAGAACCAUACGUCUCCAUAACCAUUUUCAAUAUCUGGCACCAUAAUUCAUCAAAUACGAGCUAAAUCACAUGAGAUAUAACAAGAUCCAUCAUCAAUAUGUCCUUUAGUAAAUUUGGCCAAGGAGGAUUGUUGAAGAGUAUGUGAUUUUUUUGCUUGCUUUUCAUGCCAAACAUCAUCAAACAACUAAAAACACUAAAAUAUCAUGAAAUCUAGCCAAAUUCAUCACCAAAACUUCUCUUUCUAGAUUUGGCCAGCAAAGGUUCCCUCUUGAAAACUUGAAUUUCAGCCAUGAAAAAUGACAAAGAAUGCAUGGGAAAGGUAGAUCACAAGCUAAAAUUAAAAAAUCUUACCUUUACUUGUUUAAUUCCUUGAAAUCCAAUAAUUUCUCUUGAAUUUUUCCUUUCUAGGGUGUGUUCUUCUCUUUUUCUCUUUGUUCCCUUGCUUG